GUAGCUCUGACAACUGAUCAACAUAUUCUUGAGCAAAAAUGUCAACCAUCGCGGAGAACUGUUGGCCAACUUUGAUGAAAAUAGGACCCAAUCUCAAGGUACUUUCCUUUCACCACUUUGUCAAGGUCUUCCACCUUAGAACUUGCUUUUCCUCAGUCAUUCCUCCUGCUUGUAUGCAACCUUAAAACUGGAUAUAUAACACCAAACAACUAGAAACCAUAACAACAUUAUAAGAACUAAAGAAACCGUAAUUAGAAACAACACACUAUAACAAAAUAGACUGCCCAAAAGCAAAUUUAAAAACUAGUCCUGCCUCUUUGCAAAGCAUGAAAACUAGAUCAGUUGAACAAAGCAUAGAUUAGACCAUUUUGCUUUAACAGUAAAAAACAAUAGCCAAGUUAUAUAGCCCUUAAUCUCUUUCAGAAGAAAACCUUUCUUUACCAAAACUUUAUACACAAAGUAAUUUCCAUACAUGAUAAAUCAUAAUUGACUUAUCCAUCACCUUAAACACUUCUAGCUCAUCAAUUUGAACAACUUUUGCAUAUUCAAAAUUUUUCCUAUUAGAUAUAGAUUGUAAUAGUGGGCUUAGCCCACUACUUAACUUGGUUUGUGCUCCCUAAAAAGCAUUGCUAGGUUCACCAGCUAUCACAAUUUAAACAUCAAAGGAUUUAUCUCAAGGACAUAGGCCCAACCUUAAGCCACCCCUUAAACUUCCAUAUUCCACCAUUUGGUGCAACUUCCAUAUUCCAUCAACCAUCUAAAAAGACAAAAGGCAAAAUAACAAAGGAUCUCAAGAAAAUUUAAUACCCUGAUAAUGUUACUGAAUGCUGGAUCAUGUCAGUAAUUCAAAACCAAUUCUUUUCGCAAAUUAGCAAUUCUAUUUAUAUAUGCAACACAGGAAUAUUAAUUCUAUUCAAUAAAAUCCUUUUAUCUAGUAAAACUAUAAUUAGGGUUUAUAAAAGGUAAAACAAUGAAUUUGUCAUGAUGCAUUCUUUCACAAAUUCCAUAAAAUGUCACUUAGCAUCAUAUGUCAUGGAUGAAAUUUGGGAUUUUCCAAUUUUUACAAUCUAAACAAUUGUCAAAAUGAAAAUAUGGGGCAGUUGCAGACAGUCAUGCAGAUGGACUUCAUUAUUUAACAGCUGCAAAACCAUGAAGCAGAUGACCUCUAACCUAACCAAAACCAAUUGACAUUGAGGCAUACACUAUCUACUUUUAUUUUUGUUUCCUUUUGUUUCAUCAUGUGGAAGAAAGAAAUGCUUUACUGUAAGACAAAUUAUAUUUGCCAAGAAGACCAGAGUGGAAACAAUACGUCUUUAAGAGCAAAAGAAAAAAAAAACCGCAAAUCUAGCAGUCACUGACCUCUAUCGGAGAAUUUCUGAUUGUUCAACCAUGUCUUUAUAUAAAAGUUAGAACAAAUCCCCAUAUUUCCAAGGUCCUUUGCAUUGUUGAGUAGGUUUUGAAUCUACUCCAACGCCCCGCAGGAGCAACAGAAACCUUAGAGAUUUAUUGCCAUAAGAUGAUGGUUAACACAAAAUUAAAGGGGAACACACAAACACACCCAGACACAUCCACAGCUUAUACUUAAUUAGAAAGCACACCAAAAAAGAGAUGGUUGUGACACUAAAAAAGAUUGAUGCAGUCAGCUUAGCAUAUACUCUGUAAGUCAAGUAAAUAUCAAAUAUACAUCAAAGAAAACGGUGAGAAUGCACAUCCAGGAAAAAGCACCUUGUUACUAGCUUAAAUAUGCUCCACCAUUUUUGGUUCUCGCCCGACCAACUUGGGAUCUAAUAUCAUCUUCAAGAUUGAGAGGUUUAAGAAUUAAGAGGGGGAAGCCACCCCUUGUAUAGCCCAACCAUUGGACAAAAUAUGAACAAAUUAAUCAACUUCUCUAUUAAAUUUGCAAACUCAGAUUUUGUUGUUAGUAGCCAUACAUAGUCCUCUUGACUGUCAAAUAAGUAAUAAGUUGAAAAGGAAAAAAAAAUUGGUAUAUGUUACUGCCAUGGUGUAAGUAAAUCAUAGGAUUCUACAAGCUUUACCAUUACCUCAGUAUUGCAUCAAGACUCAGCACUGGGUACACUUCUUUUUGCAUUAGAUAUGAACGAGCUUACUGUACAUAUCCAAGUUAAAGUGCCAUGAUGUAUGUUAUUUGCGUAUGAUAUAGUCUCAGUUGUUGAAACUAAUGAUAAUCUUAAUGUGAAAUUAGAAUUAUAGAAGCAUAUAUUGAAGUCUCAAAGCAUAAAAUUGAGUAGAUCUAAAACUAAAUAUAUGAAAUGUAAGUUUAGUAAUUAUGGGAAGCGAGUGCUAGUGUGAUUAAGUUGGAUGGUGGGUAGUAUCAAAGAGUAGUCAUUUUUUAUAUUUGGGAUCAAUUAUUCAAAGCGAUGCUGAGAUUAAAAUGGACAUAAAUCAUAUGAUUCAAGCAAAAGGGUGAGAUGGUGAAGUGCAUUGGGUGUGUUAUGUGAUUGCAACAUAACUUUAAAGUUAAAAGCGAAAUUGUAUAAAACAAUUGUAAGGCUUGCGUUGCUAUAUGGAUCUGAGUGUUAGGUCGUUAAGAAAUAAUAUAAGAAGAAAAUGAGCGUAGCUGAGAUAAGGAUGCUUAAAUAGAUGCGUGGUAAGACUAGAAGAGACAAAAUCAGAAAUGAAGAGAUUCCAAAAAAAUUAGGGAUAGUCUGAAUUGAACAAAGGAUGGGAGAGGGCCGUUUGAGAUGAUUUGGACAUGUAAAACAUAGGCCUAUUUGUGCACCAGUUAAGAGAAUUGAGCUUCUAGAUUUAGGUGAAACCAAAACUUCUAGAGGCAGAUCACAAAAGAAAUGAAUGCAAAUAAUAAAAAAUGAUAUAAGUGUUAGGAAAGUAGAUGAAAAGGGUGUUGUUGAUAUAAAUAAAUGGCGCAAAAAGAUUCAAAACUACAACCUAGCAUGAUUCUUUUUUUGGCCUUUCAUACAACUAACCCAGAGUUAUGCUAUAAGGCCCAGUUUGUUGUUGUUAGUAUAUACUUUUGCAUCAGUCAUGCAGAUCUACAACCGAUAAAUUAAAGCAAUGCUACAGACUCUGAACUAGUAGUACAUUUGCUUAAAAGCAAGCAAAACCUUCACAUCCAAAUUUAUUUUAUUAAAGUGCAGAUAAAAGAAAUUUCAUAUAUGUUAAAUUUGGGUUAAAUAUAAUAGACAUGCAACCUAAAAUCAAUUAAGAAUAAGUGGAGUGACCUUGUUAUAUUUAUGCACCCAGAUUAACCCCAAUUUAAUAGAUUUGGGAUUUCUUUUAUUCCAUUCUUAUAAAAUUCAAAUUCCAUAAACCCUAUAUCUAACUAUUAUAUAAUAGCAGAAGCAACAUGUAUUUCAAAAAAUUAUGGCACCACUUAGUUGUUAAUUUUGUUAAUUGUUUUUUGCUCCGAAAAACAAAAUGGAAAGAUAAUGUUUGAAUACAAGAUUAAAUAAACAUAUAAUUUAGAAAAUUAAUCAUACAAAAUAUCACAUUUUGUAAAGAAUAAAUACAUAAUCUACUUUUAUAUUUUGAACUAUUACGUUAAAAUUGUUGUAUUUUAGUCACUUCAGUCAUUUGUUGCCUCUGAAUUAAUAUGGUUUCCUUUCUAUCAUUCGCUUUGCUUUGCAGUUUGCAGAAAUUUUUAAGAAUCAAAAAGCAAGGAACAACGAAAUGAAAAACAACAACAAAACAAAAAAAAUGAAUUUUUUAAUUCAAUUCCAAGUUCCCAACUGAGUAAAACCAAGUACCUCGACCUGUUCUUCAGUGCUACGCUUGAACCAAGCCUCCUGUUUCCCAAUCUCUUCUACCCUCUUCUUCCUCGUCUCCUCCGAAACUACUCCGUCUACUUCCACCACCAAAACGUCCGCCGCCGCAGCACCAUUCCCAUUCCCGUUCACGUACUUCACCAAGCUCCCAUUGCUCUCACUCUCCACCACUCCUACCCCACCACUGAUAGAUCCCUCAACUGAUCCAUUAUUAUACAGGUACUUACUUGCACUACCAUUUCCAUUCAAUACAAACCUACCGUUAACUUCCUUGAUAAAUUCUUGCUCCCUUUCCUCGUAGGCAACUCCUUCCUCUUUAAGAACUCGAACACGAGAACGCGAAACGACGCCGUUCCAGAAAUGGCUAUUCCCAGAGAAAGAGACUCUAAAGAGAGAAGAACAUCUAGAGAGAUAAAAGCGGUAUUUUUAAGUUGUUCUUGGAGUGAGAAAGUGAAGCUCUUGUAAUGGUAGAGAUGAAGCCAUUAAUGUAACAGAAUUAUCUUUUUCUUUCAACAAAAAAUUUGAAUCAAACCCUAACUAACACCCAAAAUUUUCAUUAUUUCCCCCUUUUUUUUUUUUUGGUUAGUUUUAGAACUGUGAAGGUUUUGUGGUGGGAGAGUGAAGAGAAACGGACAAAUUUUAAGAAAAUGAAAUGAAGAAGGAAAGAAGAAAUAAAAAGUGAAAAAUGCGAGGAAGGAAAUAUAUGUAAUUUUAAAGAAAGAAAAAAAAAAAGGGUGGAGAUUAAGAGGACACGUGGCAGAGAAGUAUCGAGAGAGUGGGUAUUUUGAGAAUUGUGAUUGGAGGAGACUGUUGCGGGAGAUGUCUUGGUCAGAAAGUCUCAUUGAGUAUACGAAAUUCAAUUGUACUCUUUUUAGCUUACGUUAAUUAAUUUUUGUUUUAAUUGAAGUUACCUUUAAAAAGAAAUCUUAGACGCGUGUGUUGGAUUAGAAUUAAAAUUUUAUUUCAGUACGAGAUUGAUUUUAAUAAGAUUAAAGUAAUAAUAAAAAUAUUAUAAUUAUGAUUAAAAAAUAUAAUAAUUAUAAUUAAAAAAUUUUAUUUAAAUAAAUUUCAUCAAAAUUAUUAUUUAAAUUUAAUUAAUAAUAAAAUAAAUUUAACUCAUCACAUUAAAAAUAUAAUGAUAUCUAACAUUCACUUGUGAUUUAUUUGGAUAAACGAUAAAAUUAAUUUUAAUAAAAUUAAAAAAAAUGAUAAAAAUAAAAUCAGAUAUGAUAAUGAUAAAAUUAAAUAUUAUAAAAUUGAGAUUAAAAUUAAUGAUAAGAUAUGUGUUUAAAUGCAAACAUAACGAUGAAAUAAAAUAUAACGAGAAGAAAAAAUAAUCAUUAAAGAUAUUAAAUAAAAAUUUGUAUAAUAAAAUUUUUAAUAUAUUUUUUACAUUUUUGAAUUAAUUUUUAUAAUAAAUAAUAAAUUUAUUAAAAAUUAAUAAAAAUAAUAAACAAUUAAAAAUUUUUUAGCCUUUUAUUUUAUUACUUAAUUUAUUAAUUAUAUAAAAAAUUUAUUAAAUAAUUAUAAUGAUAUUAUUUGAAAAUAUUUAAAUAAAAAAACUAAAAUAACCAAUAAAACAAAUAAAUAAUACAAAAGAUAAAACCAUAGCAUACAAGUGAUACGGACAUUUUCAUCUCUGCACAGAAAAUUUUAAGGGUAAAAAAAAAAAAAAAAAAAAGAAGAGGGAGCAUGGGUAAUAAAGGAAAGAAAUGCUGCGAUGAGAGUGAAAUGUUUUUAAACCUCCAGUGCAAUUGAAGAGCAUGAAACGCACUGAAUUGUGCUUUUCAAACACUUCAUCAGUCCAGUGAAAUGCUUCAACUAGAUUUCAAUGGAGCUUCAGUUGAAUCCAAAUGAACGCUUAGUCAGGUCAGCCUGUCAGUUGAUGUUGAGCAGCCCUAAACUAACCCAAAAGGGGAAAACCUAACCCCGGUCUGGUGUACAAAGCAUUGGUCACAUGGUCAAGUUUCCAGAUUUUACAAGGAUUUUCUUUUUUUUUUCAUUAAUCAAAACCAACAAAUGCAAAUUUACGAGUCCAGACCAAUGUAUCAUCAGCUCAAUCCCUCACUUGUUGUCAAGUUGGUAUGAAUGUUAGUAAUAAUUAUUUUUGAGUUAAUAUCAUAAAUAGAACCUAUUAUUGUAUUUUUAAUGUGAUAUCUAAAUUAAAAAUUUUUAAAUAGUUACUUAAAUUUCAUUUUUAUUUAUUAAGUUAUUCCAAUUUUAAAAAUCAUUAGAGUAAGUGCUAAUUUGGCAGUCAACAUUGACGUGAAUUACAUGUGAUUACCAUAUGAGAAUAAUACGGAUUCCACAUGUCAUAUUUUAAAAAAUAAAAAUACAAAAUUUUUUAAAUAAAAUAAUUUAAAAAUAGAAAAAAAAACAUUUUUGUAUUUUUGUUUUCUUUUUUAAAUAUUACAAGAAACAAUCACAUCACUAUCACAUAAUAAUCACGUCUCAUCCACAUCACUGUUAACUACAUUAAGGCUUAUUCUAACGAUCUUAGGGAUUAAAAUAAUUUAAUUAAUUUAGAUACCAAUUAAAAUUUUUUUUUUGAUUAAGUAGCACAUUAAAAAAAAAACUGUAAUAGUUCACAGUUAUUUAGGGUAUUCUAUCUAAUUCUUUUAUGUCUAUUCCAUCUUUGUUAGUCUCAUACAUGAAAUCCAUACCACAUAUGCAUAAUUGAUGAAUCAUAAAUUAAACAUCACCAUAUCAAGCCUUUCUUUUCCUCCGAAGUGUUUUUUUUUUUUUUUUUUCUUCUUUUUGAAGACAGCUCUUUAUUCAUGACGAAGAAAAGCUGAACAAAUUUCUCUCAAAAUAGUUCAAAAACAAAAAAUGGCAUAAAAUAUAAAUUCAGAUCAAAUAUAAACUAAAUUAAAAGACAAAUUAGUAUACGAGGACCAUCUUGAAUCAACAUGAAAGCUCAAAAGUGGCCUUGAUAAAGUAAAACCAAAUUAAAUAAAAACAGACUUAGCAUGUUUUUUCUUCUCAAAAAGAAGUAUGCAAAAGAUGAGCCUUGUAAGCCAUCAGCAGUUCCUCCACAUCAUCUGGAAACCUUGACAUGAACUUCAAGAAUUCAUUCUCAGUAUAUUCCAUGAUGUAAAGAAAACUCCAAUACAUUUUCAACAACUCCUUCUACUUAAUAAUCUGCAAAACUCAAUAUUGAGGAAUCACACGAUCUCCCAAACUACUCAUCAAAAGCAUUGGCCUAGAAACAGACUUUUAUCAUGUGUUUUCUUCUUCUUCCGAAGAAGAAGUGUGCAAAAGAUGAGCUUUGUAAGCCAUCAACAGUUCUUCCACAUCAUCUGGAAACCUUGAUAUGAACUCCAAGAAUUUAUUCUCUGUAUAUUCCAAGAUGGAAUAAAAACUCCGAUCCGUUUUCAACAACUUCUUGGAGUUAAUAAUCUGAAAAACUCGGUAUCUAGGAAUCACACGAUCUUCCAAACUACUCAUCAAAAGAUUUGGCUUGUAAGCCAAAACAUUCCGAUCAAACUUUGCCACAUUAAGAAAGAACUCAAUUCCUAACUUCAUUUUCUCCUCAGAGACCCUAAAAAAAGCUGGGUUCUUCCUAAACAAAACCAGGCAAUGAUUGUCUGAAAAACCAAAAGUCUUAAGUAAUUCACAUUUCUUCUUAAAUGUUUGUUCACUCAAGCAACUCAAGGUAUGAAUACCGUGCACUAACAUCCUCGAAUCAGUCGAAAUCCCCAUAUCUACAACCCUCGUAACGAGAUCCCUUAAUGCCGAUUCUCGCAUCCUAAAAAUCCUAGGUUGUCUCAUUAACAACUUUGAGAGCUGAGAUCCAACAAUCCCACAGCUUUCAAAAUACUCAAUGUUUCUCGACAAGUUUGAUAUGCCAUCUCUAGCAAUAAAACCAUUGCAUCUAUUGAAGACCUUAAACAAGUCUUCAUUAUUAUUCCCUAAAAUUUUAUUGACAAAUUGGAUAAAAGGAAUCAACUUUUUAUGUAAACUACAAGUUAAAAGCGUAGAAUUCCUAGAAAAGAACUUACCCAGAUGGGGUUCCACAAGACCCAGAUCUUGAAAAAGCUUGAUUGUUGGCCUAAGCUUCUUUUCUACAUCAGCAAACAGAAUUUGGGGCGCCACAUGAACAGCAGAGGCUAUUUGGGCAUUAGAAAAGCCAAGACUUUGGAAAAAAUUGGCAACCGAAUGAGCCUUUUGGAGGGAUUUCCCAUGAGAGUAACGAUUAGAGAUUGAAACAGCUUGGGUUUCAGUGAAAUCCAAGUUUUUUACAAGGUAAUUGAAAAGGGGAGGAUUCGAAACAGAGGUGGAAGAAGAAUAUGAGAGAAUAAAAAUAAAUGAUUUGGGUUUUAACGAAAAAUUGAGAAAAUAGGAAGUUGAGAAAAUGGAAGAUGAUUUGAGGGUAUGCAUGGAAGUUUUUGAGGAAUUCCCCGCAGGGGGUUUUAGGGUUUAAAAUUCAAUUUUCAUCAUGCAGAAUUGCAGAUUCAAUUCCAAAUACGUUCUCGAUCAAGUAACGACGACGUUAAGAGUGGUAGGCCACAUAAGCAGCGACGCCGUUUCAGGAAAAACAAACAUUUUAAUGGUGGGCUUUUAUUUAUUGGUCUAAUUUAUCAUUUUGUUUUCUUAUAGAUGACGCAAUUUAUGAUAAUUUGUAUUUCUUUCCAUUGCAAUCCUUAUAAUUUAUCGCUAAAAUUGGUACAUGAAAUUUAUAAAUUAUUUUGAUUUUAAUCAUUAUUAACAUUAAUAAACUAUAAAUUAUAUAUAUAUGAGCAUACAUAGAUAAAUCCAAGAAUUUUCUUUUCUGCAUAGGGCCAAACUUGCUAUAUAAUAUUUUUCCUUAAAAUUUUUUAUAUAUUAAUAAUAAUAUCGCUUCGUUUAUAAAAUUGCAGCAAAAAUACUAAGUUGAAUUAAAUCAAGACAAUCUUUUAUCAAAGCCUUUUUUUUUCUAACUUUAUGAUUAGUCCAAAUGUAUUCUAAAAUUUAAAAUCUAAUAUUAUAUCAAUACAUCAUAUCAUAUGAUUGUAAAUUUAAAAAAAAAACUAUGAUACUUUGUUUUAAAUUGGAUAUCCAACAAAAGGUAAUUAAUCUAGAUCUUAAUUAUUCAAUCAUGUUAAUUAGAUAUGAUAAAUCCAUAAAGCUUGCGUUCAAACGAGAAAAGUUAAAGUACUAGAGAAGGCAACAAAUGUAUCCAGAAAAUAUACUCUUGUAGAGAUUACAUAGCCAUUUUCUCAUGGUUUGAGGGAGGACAAAUUCUGCUGAUUGUAACCGACAUGCUUGGCACCUUCAUGGGGUGGCCUGCUAGCAAAAACAAGGUCAUAUGUCUUGAGGAAUAGCUCGGGAGCUUCAGGGGAUGAGAAAACAAAUACAGGCAUCAGGCCAAAGCCUAAUGGAAUUAUGGGGCCAUGCUUGUGGGCUGACUGUUGAAGAUCUUGGUGAGAUUUGUUCCCCAUCAUGAAAAGGUUUCCAAAAAUAGGAAGCCCUCUCGGACCAGGAGGUAAUCUCUUAUUCUUCUAAUUCUCCCUUAAUUUCCCCUUUUCUUUCUAAUUUCUUCUAUCUAUAUCUGAUUUUACUUCUGACUUCUAUACUCUAUCUAUUUUACCACGUUCUCUAUCAAUGUUGUUCUAAUCUCUUGGUAAUUCAUUAAUGUAAUUUCGUCCACUCUUACAACAUGGGGAAUCUUUUGAGCAUCAGCUUUCAAUAGGCAAAAGGAAACUUCUUUGGCAACCAAAAUAAAGAACCUUCCUGCAUAAGCUUGAUAAGAAAUAUCAACAUUCCAAAUUGCAAGCAAUAUAACAUUGAAUAAAGCAAUUCAGAAUCAGAAGCAAGGCAGUUGAUUGCUUCUGAUGCAGUAAUGGGGCCACCUGAUACAACACACUUGCACAUUCAUCAUAAAUCGCAACCCAGUCUCUCCUUGCACCAUCUGACUUUGGGUCAACCUUUUGAAGAUAUUCUGCUAUUACCUGAGGCCCAACAAAAAGAGAGAUAGGAUCAGAAUUUUCAACCUUCCUUAGUGGUUGUCAUGUCCAAAACUGUACCUUUGAAGAUCAUCUCAUACACAAGAAGUGUCUUAGUACUAACCGGUAGUGAUAGCAUAAAUCAUGUUUGCCGAGCAAAUUUAAGAGUAAAGUGAAUGUAUCCAACGCCACAGAAGCUAAGAAACCAUAGGCAUGAUGACAUCAUGAUAAGAAGAUAACAUUAUUCAGCUACGCUCUGAACAAACGGAAAAGAUAAUUUCAAAAUAAAUAGUAAAACUCACCCUCAGGUUUUUAAGAUCAAUAUCAUAGAGAUCCUUUAAACCAGGCCUUUGUACUUUGAUAACAACUUCUUGGCCCUUCAAUUUUGCCCGAUGGACUUGGCCUGCAAAAGAAAAAUAAAUAAAUCAGUGAAUUCCAUUUAAUCAACUAACACACUAUUAUCAUAUGCAUGUUCUCACAUUCCUUUAUUGUUUAAACAUGUUGAAGGCCAUUUGUUUCUUCUGUUUUUGAACUGACUCUUCUAUAUAUUUCAAACUCAUUGAUAUUAAUAUUUAUAAUAUGGGCAUGGCUAAAUUUAAGAAAAAAAAUAAAAGCAAAGAAAGCAAAAUGACCAAGUUAGUUUACCUUGUACCACAUGGAAAGAAUAUAUUAAUUUUUACAACAUAUAAUGUAACAGAAUAAAAGUUUGUGAUGACAAGAAAGUUAACUCCAAUUUGUUUAUGGUUAAAGAGAGUGGUUUUGUGAAAAUUUACCUUAAAUAGGCACUUAAUAUGCUAUGCGUGUGUGUAAAAUAAAAAGUGGAUGAUUAAUACAAAAAUAAAAGAAAUAAACUAAGAGACAAACAUGUCCUUUUCCAAAUAUGAAGAACAGUUAUAUGGAUCAAUAUUGUGUUAUUGACAGCAAUUUAAGACACAUCCUUAGCAAACUUAGGUCACUUUUUAUAAGUUCAAAUGACGCCAAUAUUAGGGGAAAAUAAGUUAAAGUAAAGCUUUUAAUAUCGGUAAAUGGUAAUACCAAUCAAUGUUUCUCUCAUUUCUUUUAAUGCUUUCUUUUGAUCAUGUGUUAAACGUAACAUGUUCAUACAAGUGUAUGAAGUUAUUUUUCUUCAUGUAUCUAAUUACAUAGGCAUUAGAUGCCACUUUAAUGUGUCUUUAAACCAACAGAGUAGUAACAGUUCUUGGCAUAUUAUCACAUGACAGCAUUAGAUCAUUAAUUUUUAGGCAUAGCUAGACUUGAACUAAUCUUGAAGCAUUCCCUAUUUCAAAGUUAUUUUUAGUUAUUUUUAGUCAAACUAUUAACAAGUCCAAUAAAUUGGAAAGAGUUGGGAAAUUAUUUUUAAGGACAUAAGUGAAGUGAAAGAAAACAGAAAAAAAAAAAAGAGGAAAAAGAAUUUGUUAUGAAUAAUUGAAUAUACCACUUAGCACCAGAUAAAACAAAAUUCUGUAAAGCCUUCACGAAAAAAUUGAAAUAUAUGCAUAUGCAUUGUGUGUGUGUGUGUGUGUUGCAUGUCUAUACAAUUUGAGAUUUGACAAUGGUCACACUAACGACAUCAUAAUCCACCUUUUACCACUUUACCUUAUGCAAUGGCAAAAAACUUCCACAUCAAAGAAUCAUAGAUAACAUUAAGAUUAGCAAGACUAGCAGCAGCAAUGGGUUCAAAGUCAAACCAGUCGAAGAUACCAUCUACAGGGCCUCCAAGCUCUUCAUCAACAAUAGAUACUGCAGUCUCUGAUGGAAAAGGUGGAACUUGAUCCUGCACAUGAAUAGUAGUUAGAUUCUUACCUAUAGAAUUUUAAAUUUAGAAACCAUCUGGCCAGCAAAACUCUCUCUUUUUGGGAAAGGAGGUGGGGGCUAGAAGUAAUAGAAAAUUAUGAAAUGAUUUUGUACAGAACCGCUCUAUUUUAGAUUUCUUUUAAUGCCCUUCAUCUUACCUACCUUGAAUAAAUUCUUCUCCAAGUAGAAGCUAACAUCAACAAUAAAGGAAUUUCACCCAAAAAGUAUAAAAUUUUAAAGUAAAGGAACUUCAACCUGUAGCGCUGACAACUGAUCAACAUAUUCUUGAGCAAGAAUGUCAACCCUUGUGGAGAACAGUUGGCCAACUUUGAUGAAAGUAGGACCCAAUCUCAAGAUACUUUCCUUUAACCACUUUGCCAGGGUCUUCCGCCUUAGAACUUUCUUUUCCUCAGUCAUUCCUCCUGUAUGAAUGCAACCUUAAAACUGGAUAUAUAACACCAACAACUAGAAACCAUAACAACAUUAUAAGAACUAAAGAAAAGGCAAUUAGAAACAACACACUAUAACUAAAAUGACUGUCCAAAAGCAAAUUUAAAAACUAGUCCUGCUUCUUUGCAGUGCAUGAAAACUAAAUCAGUUGAACAAGGCAUAGAUUAGACCAUUUUGCUUUAACAGUAAAAAACAAAAGGCAAGUCAUAUAGCCCUUAAAUCUCUUUCAGAAGAAAACCUUUCUUUAGCAAAACUUUAUACACAAAGUAAUUUCCAUACAUGAUAAAUCAUAAUUGACAUAUCCAUCAUCUUAAACACUUCUAGCUCAUCAAUUUGAACAACUUUUGCAUAUUCAAAAUUUUUUCUAUUAGAUAUAGAUUGUAAUAGUUGGCUUGGCCCACUACUUAAUUUGGUUUGUGUUCCCUAAAAAGCAUUGCCAGGUUUUGCCAGCUAUCACAAUUUAAACAUCAAAGGAUUUAUCUCAAGGACAUAGGCCCAACCUUAAGCCACCCCUUAAACUUCCAUAUUCCAUCAACCAUCUAAAAAGACAAAAGGCAAAAUAACAAAGGAUCUCAAGAAAAGUUAAUACCCUGAUAAUGUUACUGAAUACUGGAUCAUGUCAAUAAUUCAAAACCAAUUCCUUCCGCAAAUUAGCAAUUCUAUUUAUAUAUGCAACACAGGAAUAUUAAUUUUAUUCAAUAAAAGGUAAAACAAUGAAUUUGUCAUGAUGCAUUCUUUCACAAAUUCCAUAAAAUAUAGCUCAGGAGCUUCAGGGGAUGAGAUAACAAUUACAGGCAUCAGGCCAAAGCGUAAGGGAAUUAUGAGGCCAUACUUCCGGGCCAACUGUUGAAGAUCUCGGUGAGGUUUGUUCCCCAUCAUGAAAAGGUUUCCAAAAAUAGGAAGCCCGGACCAGGAGGUAAUCUCUUAUUCUUCUAAUUCUCCCUUAAUUUCCCCUUUUCUUUCUAAUUUCUUCUAUCUAUAUCUGAUUUUACUUCUGACUUCUAUACUCUAACUAUUUUACCACCUUCUCCAUCAAUAUUCUUUUCAUCUCUUGGUAAUUCAUUAAUGUAAUUUCAUUCAGUCUUACAACAUGGGGAAUCUUUUGAGCAUCAGCUUUCAAUAAAGAACCUUCCUGCAUAAGCUUGAUAAGAAAUAUCAGCAAUCCAAAUUGAAAUUAAUAUUUAUAAUAUGGGUACGGCUAAAUUUAAGAAAAAAAAUGCAAAGAAAGCAAAAUGACCAAGUUAGUCUACCUUGUACCACAUGGAAAGAAUAUAUUAAUUUUUACAACAUAUAAUGCAACAAAAUAAAAUUUGUGAUGACAAGAAAGUUAACUCCAAUUUGUUUAUAGUUAAAGAGAGUGGCUUUGUGAAAAUUUACCUUAGAUAGAGACUUAAUAUGUUAAGCGCACGUGUAAAAUAAAAAGUGGAUGAUUAAUACAAAAAUAAAAUAAAUAAACUAACAGACAAACAUGUCCUUUUCCAAAUAUGAAAGAACAGUUAUACGGAUCAACAUUGUGUUAUUGACAGCAAUUUAAGACACAUCCUUAGUAAACUUAGGUCACUUUUUAUAAGUUCAAAUGACCCUAAUAUUAGGGGAAAAUAAGUUAAAGUUAAGCUUUUAAUAUUGGUAAAUGGUAAUACCAAUCAAUGUUUCUCUCAUUUCAUUUAAUGCUUUCUUUUAAUCAUGUGUUAAACAUAACAUGCUCAUAAAAGUGUAUGAAGUUACUUUUCUUCAUGUAUCUAAUUACAUAGGCAUUCUUUAUUGUGUUUUUAAAGCAAUAGAGUAUCACAUGACAGCAUUAGUUCAUUAACUUUUAGGCAUAGCUAGACUUGAACUAAUCUUGGAGCAUUUCCUAUUUCCAAGUUAUUUUAGUCAAACUAUUAACAAGUUCAAUAAAUUGGAAAGAGUUGGGAAAUUAUUUUUAAGGAAAUAAUUGAAACGAAAGAAAACAGAAAAAAAAAAAAAAGGAGGAACAAGAAUUUGUUAUCAAUAAUUGAAUAUACCACUUAGCACCAGAUAGAAAAAAACUCCGUAAAGCCUUCAUGCAAAAAUUGGAAAUAUAUGCACGUGUUGUGUUUGUGUGUGUGUGUUAUGUGUAUACAAUUUUGUGAUUUGACAAUGGUCACACUAACCACAUCAUAGUCCACCUUUUACCACUUUACCUUAUGCAAUGGCAAAAAACUUCCACAUCAAAGAAUCAUAGAGAACAUUAAGGUUACCAAGACUAGCACCAGCAAUGAGUUCAAAGUCAAACCGGUCAAAGAUACCAUCUACGGGGCCUCCAAGCUCUUCUUCAACAAUAGAUACUCCAGUCUCUGAUGGAAAAGGUGGAACUUGAUCCUGCACAUGAAUAGCAAUUAAAUUCUUACCCAUAGAAUUUUAAAUUUAGAAACCAUCUGGCCAGCAAAACUCUUUCUCUUUUUGGGGAGGGAAGUGGAGGCUAUAAGUAAUAAAAAAUUAUGAAAUGAUUUUGUACAGAACUACUCUAUUUUAGAUUUCUUUUAAUGCCCUUCAUCUGACCUAUCUUGAAUAAAUUCUUCUCCAAGUAGAAGUUAACAUGCACAAUAAAAUAAUUUCAAAGUAAAGGAACUUCAACCUGUAGCUCUGACAACUGAUCAACAUAUUCUUGAGCAAGAAUGUCAACCCUGGCGGAGAACUGUUGGCCAACUUUGAUGAAAGUAGGACCCAAUCUCAAGAUACGUUCCUUUAACCACUUUGCCAGGGUCUUCCGCCUUAGAACUUUCUUUUCCUCAGUCAUUCCUCCUGCUUGUAUGCAACCUUAAAACUGGAUAUAUAACACCAACAACUAGAAACCAUAACAACAUUAUAAGAACUAAAGAAAAGGCAAUUAGAAACAACACACUAUAACUAAAAUGACUGUCCAAAAGCAAAUUUAAAAACUAGUCCUGCCUCUUUGCAAAGCAUGAAAACUAGAUCAGUUGAACAAAGCAUAGAUUAGACCAUUUUGCUUUAACAGUAAAAAAACAAUAGGCAAGCCAUAUAGCCCUUAAUCUCUUUCAGAAGAAAACCUUUCUUUAGCAAAACUUUAUACACAAAGUAAUUUCCAUACAUGAUAAAUCAUAUUUGACUUAUCCAUCAUCUUAAACACUUCUAGCUCAUCAAUUUGAACAACUUUUGCAUAUUCAAAAUUUUCUUAUUAGAUAUAGAUUGUAAUAGUCGGGCUAUAGGUUAUUGGUUACAUUCAGGGAAUUUAAAUAGUUUUCGGUCGUAGCAUUUGUCGCGUUUUCGGAUAUAACGGAGAUAAUUGCGGUCACUGCGGUCAUCACGGUCGUGAAAUUUUUUUUUUUUGCACAAUUUAUUAUAAAAUGUAAUAAUUAUAAUUAUAAUUAUAAAAACUCUUAUUCAAUGAUUUUAAAAAUAGUUUAUGACACUCUAUGUUUUUUAUUUUCUAAAAAAAUUAUUCACAAUUUUAUUUAGAUUAUAAAAAGCAUUCAUAUUUGGUUUAUCCAUAAAAUUUUUCUUGGCCAAGUUCAUAUUCAAUAUUAAUUCUAGACAAAUCAAAUAUUAACAAAACAUAAUAUGUUAAAUACCAAGCAUUUAAUUUAAUAAAAUUACAAACUUAAAAAUAUAAUAAAUUCAAAUUCCAUCAACUACAAUUAUUGAUACAUAUUUCAAAUUUACCACAUGGUAGAAUGACGAGGAGGAUCAGAUUCUCUAUCUUCACUUUGAGAGCCAAGUUGACUCCAUCUCCAUCCCUGAGACCUUUGUUCUUGAUACAUUUGAGGUGGAGGAUAUAUUUGAGGAUGAUACAUUUGUGGUGGAGGGUACAUUUGUGGUAACUGAUACAUUUGAGGUGGAGGAUAUAUUUGAGGAGGUGGAGGAUACAUUUGAUGUGGAUUAAUAACCAUAUGGAGGUGGAUAACCAUGAGGAGGUUGAAAAUUAUGUUGUUCUAGUGGAUAAUAAUGUCUUGAGUACUAGCAGAUGAUUCACUAUACUCAAAGUUACUAGAAUUUGGUCUUUCACCUGAAGAUGAAAAACCUCUAAAAAUUUCAUAGUGGUGCUUCUUUGCUUUUCCUUUUGAUCGAGCUGUACGUGCACUUUGACCCUCACUAGAUUCAGCAAAUGGAUUUCCUCCGUAUUCUGCCAUAUUAAUAAAAAGUCCACCAGUAACAGCAAGCCCAAAUUCUCCUCCAAGUGGGCUGUAAGGUCGAUUUGCAUCCAUAUUAUCACCAAAAUUUGCACCAUCACCAUCAUCAUCUGGACUUAAACCACCACCAUCAUCACUCUGACUUGGUAUUGGACUUGAACUUGAAUGAGACACAUUCCUUUCUUGAGAUUGACGUGAUCGUUCAACAUUCAUUUCAUUAUUAGAAUUAUCUGCAGGCAACCAAUCAGAGUUUUGACCAUCUAAUAGAGGAUUUUCUUUCUCUUGCAGCCAUUCUGUUAGUAGAUCAUCAUCUUCAAAAAUAUGGUCAAGGCUAAUAGGAUUAAACUAUUAUUUAUUUCAUCAAUGCUCAUUCUUUUUGAUGUCUCAUCCUCAACCUCAUGUUAUAAUAGGUAUAUAUAAGUUUCUGGAGUCUUGCAAACUUUAAUCUGUUUCUUGCUUUGGUGUGAAUAUAGCUAAAUGUGCUCCAAUUACAUUCACAAUUUGAUGCAAUGUUGUUGCCUAAGCACUUUGAUUGCUAGUUUUUGCAAUUCAGGAACACAAGUGCCAUAUAUCAUCCACCACUCAGCUGUAUAAAUUAUUUAAAUUAAAUUCAAUGGGCUAUACAAUUAAAUAAUAUAAAUAAAUUAUAAUUAUUUAACUUACUAUUUACCUGGAUUCAUUUGCUUCCAAGCUCUUUGUGCUUGUGGACUACCAAAUGUUUCAUGCUUGUCUCGAAAUAAUAACAACUACAUCGAUUGAAAAUACAAUAAUAAAUGAAUAAAUAAAAACAAUUUAAUUUUUAAUACAUAAAACAAAUGUUAAAGUUAUAAAAUGGUAUUAAAUACUAACCUGAUUAAUCAUUCUAAUUUGAGAUCUAUCGAAGGUUCUAAUAUUUCAAUAACUGCUUUUAUAACCUUCUAAUGUUUUCUUAAAUACAUUUACAGAAUGUUCCACUCCAAAUUGAAAUUGUGGAUUUAAAUAGUAACCUAAACAUAAUUUAUAACAAUAUUAUAUUAAAGUAAUAAAAAAUAAAUAUAUAAGCAAUUUAAGUAUAAAAAAUAAACAUAUUUUUUAAAUACCAUCUAUAUUCUUGUUUACUUACCAGCUGAAUGCAAGUCAGAGUGCAUGAAACUCCAUCUAUUGUCAAUAAUCUUUUCAUAUUCAGCAGAAUAACGACAAGUUUGUUGAAUUUCUUGUUUAGCUCUAUCCACAGCCCUCGUAAAUAAAGCCCAUUGUUGGUUUUUCAUCACCAUCCACAAGGCGCAACACUUUACCAAAGGCUCAUAAACUUUUAUUAUAUCACCUAUUUUUUCCAAAAAUCUUUUCCAAAUGAUUUUUUGACUUCAUAAAGCAGGUCCUGAUUUUGUUGUCCCCAUUUUGAAUCUUUAAAUUCCUAUAUAUUCAUCAAUAAAUUUUAGAGUAAUAUAUUUUAAUUAAUAUUUAAAACAAUAAUAUUAUAAAAGAUGUAGAUUAAAUAAUUGUACUAAUUACUAAGUAUUAAACCUUUGAAUUGGAAACAUCUCUCUCAAACUUUGCUUUUGCCUCAUUAUUUCUUCUAAUUGUAUGAAAUGAGUGGCAAAUCGGGUAAGAGCAGGACGAAGUAUUUGCUUCCCUUGUGUAUAUUUCUUCAUCAAAUAACAGUCCAAAUGUGAUUGUAUAUAAAACAAGUCACUUUCUUUGGCAUCAUCCAAAGCCUUUGUCACAUUUUUUUCCUCCCAAUAUCUUCAAGGCACAAGUCCAAACAAUGAGCUGAACAUGCUGUCCAAUACAAAUGUUUUCUCUUCUCCAUUAGUCUUUUUCCUGCGGCCUUAAGUGCUGCCUCGUUAUCAGUGACUAUUUGAACAAUGUAUUUUUCUCCAAUUUCUUCCACAACUUCAUCUAAUAAUCUGUAGUAAAAGUUUGUAUCUCUACUACGAACACUUGAGACAUCUACAGAUUUCUAAAAAAUAGUCCCUUUACUACAGUAAACAAGAAAAUUAAUGAUAUGCAUUUGAUUCAAACUAUUGGUCCAACCAUCACACAUCAAAGUGACACCCAAUUCAUUCCAAUAAGCUUUUAAUCCAUUAACCCAUUCAUGAACUUGUUGAUACUCAGACUCUAAAUACACAUCUGAGACCUCAUAAGGUGUUGGAAGUCUUACAUGUUGGCCAACUUCUGCUGCCACAGAAAUCAAAUUAUGCAACCAUGGGGAAUUUGCUAAUUGAAAAGGAAGUCGAUCAUAUAUCAAAAAUUUUGAUACUGAUUCACCCAUUUUUCUUCUUAAUGUCUUUAUAAAUGAAUCACUUACUUUGGUUGUCUUGAACUUUUACUUCUAACCAAUUCAGGAACAGCUCCCCUUAAUGAAAAUUUAGACUCAUUUGGAGUUCUUGUUCUUUCUUCAAAAUAUUCAGCAACUGAACCAUGAGAGCUUCGUCCUUCUUCAUAUAUGUUACUCCAACCACUAGUUCUUUGUUUGAAUUCUUGUCUUCUAUGCCACUCAUGUUCUGAUUGGAUACUAUCUCGCACGGCUUGUCUAGUAGCAAUGUCUUCAUCAAUAAAUCCUUCAUAAUCAUCUUCCCCUCUUAACUGUGAUAAAAAUUCAUUUUUUCUUCUUUUGUUGUCAGCCUUUUUUGAUUUGCUUUCUUGAAGGAGUUUCAUCAUACUUUCUCUACUAUACUAUUAAUAUAUAGUUUAAAAAAAAGAGAAAAUUAGUUGCACAUGCUUAUGUAAUUUUAUAAUUUUUAUUAAGAAAUUAACAAUAAUAUUUUCAAAGAAAUUAAAAAAAACAUAACAUACCAGUAACGUUGGGGCAUGGUGCAACAUUGCCAGUUUUAUGAGCAAUGUGUUCUUUGAAACGUGUUAUUCCUCCUUUUACAACUUUACCACAAAGUUUACAUGAAACAUUUCCUCUUGUAUUUGGCACAGGUGUUCCAAAAUGCCAACCUAUAUCAUCACUUGGCGUGCCCUCUACUCCUUUACUCGGGAACUCUUCACGUGGUGGCAUACUUACUAUUUUGUAUAAAAACAAAAUAAACUUAUAUUUAGAAAUAUUAAUAUUACUUAUUACAUCAUUAAAAAUUGAUUUUACGCUAAAUUUUUUAAUUUUUAGUUUUUAAUCUUAAGAAUAUUAUUAAAUAACUUAAUCUUUUAGAUGCACUAAUUGAUAUUAAUUUUUUUAUCACAAAUAACUUCAAAUAAUUAUAUAAUAAAUACAAUCUUCAAUAAUUACACAAAAAUAAUAAGAAUUAAUCUAAUAUCAAAAGAAUUGACAACAAUAUAAAUAUCAAACAACAAAAAAAUUAUUAAAUUUCAUAUACAUAAUUAUAAAUUAAUAUCUAAACAAUCAAAAUAUAAUAUUUAAUUUUAAUUAAUUUUUUCUAACUUAUAUAAAAAAUUUAUCAAUAAUUUCAUCUACAAUCUCUAUGUAUAUCAUAUUAAAUUAUUAAUCUUUUAUUUUUUUAAUUAUAAAUCUUCAAUCCCUCUAAUUAGAUUUUAUCUUAAAAAAAUUUCAAAAAUUAAAAGUUUUCAAACUUAUAUUUUAAUAAAAUUUUCAAACCUAUAUUUUUUAUUUUUUAGUUUUUAAUCUUAAUAAGAGUAAUAGAUCAUAAAAUGCUAAAUUUGUUAAGUAACUUAAUUUUUUUGAUACAAUAAUUGAUAUAAAAUUUUUUUUAUCACAAACAACUUUUAAUAAUUAUAUAAUAAACACAAUCUUCAAUAAUUACACAAAAAUAACAAGAAUUAAUAUAAUAUCAAAAGAAUUGACAAUAAUAUAAAUAUCAAAACAACAAAAAAAUUAAAAUUCAUAUACAAAAUUAUAAAUUAAUAUAUAACACAAUCAAAAUAUAAUAUUUAAUUUUAAUUAUUUUUCAUCUAACUUAUACAAAAAAUUUAUCAAAAUUUUCAUUUAAAAUAUCUAUAUAUUAUAUUAAUUAUAAAUUUUCAAAACCACUAAUUAAAUUUUAUCUAAAAAAUUUUCAAAAAUUAAUUAUAAAAUUAAAUAAAAAAAUUCAAUCCCACCCUCCAACACCCUACCACACCCAAUCCCUCCCACCCCCAUCAAUCCCUCUCCACCUUCCCCCCAACAUCCCACCACCCAAUCCCUCCCCACUUCCUCCCAACCCCACCACACCCAAUCCCUCCCCACCUUCCCCCCAACCCCACCACACCCAAUCUCCCCACCUUCCCCCCAACCCACCACACCCAAUCCUCCCCACCCCAUCCAAUCUCUCCACGUGCCUAAUAUAUCAAAUUGUUUAAUUCUUUCUAACAACCCGAGCCGAGACCCUUCUAGAAACAUUCAUUCUUCUGUUCAUCUUCUUCUUCGUCUUACAUUUACUUUCUCUGGCUUUCCAAAAAAAUUUUCUUUUUUUUUUCAUCUCUCAUUUUCUCUCACAUCCUUUAUCACUAUCACUUGCUGACUUACCUAGUAUCUACAGAUAUCUCAUUCAUCUUUCAAACUCUCACAAGACACAACAGAUCGAUCAUUUUACAGAAAUUUUACAAAAAAAAAGGUAAUUUAACUUUCUUUUCUUACCUUGUUUGAUCUUGAAUGUUGAUUGAAAACUUGAGGUUGAUUUGAAUUUGAAUCGAAAAUGCCGUUUGAAUGGUUGAAACUUGAAACUCUGUUUUCUAGCUCGUUUUAAAAUUUCUUUUUGAUGAUAAAGAUCUGAGAUUGUUGUGAGCUUUAUUUUUUGAUUUGGCUUUUACUUUUACUUUUGCAGGUUUGUUGUUUUAUUUUGCAGGCGUAAAAAUUUUUUUGUUUUUUUUGUUAGAACUAUUAGAUCCGUGAGUAGAAAAACGGAAUAGCGACAAUAACGGUCCGUUAUUGCCGUUAUUGCCCGUUACGCCGUUAUUUUGCAACCGUUACUCUCGUUUUUGCUGUGAAUGAAUUUCUCAACCAUUUUCUAUCUAUUAACGAUGGCGGAAGGCAGCGUUACCGCAAUUUUGCUGCCACUAUUCCGCUAUCAACCCGUUUUUUGAAUCUCUGGUUACAUUUAUGGCAAAUAUUACUGUUUCAGAAGAUUGGAGAUGGUGAGACAUGGCCAUUGUUUCCUACAGACGACAUCAAUUAUUGAUGGUGUUUUUGAGAUCUCUUAGUUGGAAGGAGACGUUGAGAGGUUGAAGGUGGAAUGGCCUAAACCUGCAACUAGAAAAUACGGUCAUGGAGCAUCGAAGUUGGUUUUCCAAGAUGUGUUCUUAUGCUUAAGUCAGUGAGGUAAUAAAGGUAAAGUGAGGUAUGCCUAGGAAGUUACAAUAGAAAAAAACUAUUUUAAAUGUGAAGUGAGGUGUGUGUAUGGUCUUGUUUCUUAUCUCAUGUACCUAAACUUUAUUUGUACUUAUAUAUAAGAUAAGAGAUAAUAAUUUGAUUAAAAUAAUUGAUAAUUGAUAAAAAAUAUAUAUAAAAUAAAAAAUUUUACAUAAAUAAUUAUUUGUUAUAUUUAAUGAUUUUAAAUAAGUAAAAAUUAUAUUUAUUAAUUUCAAACAAAUUAAAAAUCAAGUGUUCAAUUUAAAGUGAUGAUUGAUAAAAUAUCAUUGAAUGUUGGGCAAGCCUUUUUUUUUAGUGGGGUGCAACCUAGUCCUUGAGUAAUGAUGAUGUGGUAACUUGGCGUGUACUGUUUAGGUGCUCUAAGGAGUUAAAUAUGUUGACCAAGAGUUUAUGGGUGUAACAAACUUUAAUUUUUCUACAACUGAAGUAAAAGAAAAAAAAGAAAAGUAAACAUUAUGCUUCAUCUAUGAUACCUUGGUAUGAAAUGUAGUGGCAGCAUGGCAUCUGGCACUUUUAGCUUUGGUCUAUCAUCAAUGGCUACCAAGAGAAGCUUUGUUUAUAGCCAAUCCUAUAUAGGUGUUACUUAAGUUACCAAGUUUGUGCAAUCCAUGCGACGGAGACUAACAUGAUUGAUUAGUUCAAUUUAUUGCUAUUACUUUUUACCAUAAUUUAUAAAUUCAUAAAUUUAUUACUAUACAUAUAAAAAAAAUUAUUAUCAAUUUUUUUAUUUAGGUGUGAAUAAUUAUUUAAUAAAUUUAUUUUUUUUAAAAUAUCUUAAACUUGAUUAAGAGUCUUUUUAAAAAAUAAAUUUUAGACGUAUUUAUAACUGAAUUCGAGAGUAUAGUUACCUAAGGAAACAAUUAUAGCACUAUUACAAUGUCUAUACUAGGAUGAUACAAAGUAAUUCCAAAUUAUCCUAAAGUCUUGGCUAGAUAGUCUUUUUAUUUAUGGCUUUUACUUAAUUCAAACAUUUAUAUAUUGAAAGAAUUUUAGGUUUUCCUCAUCAUUUUGUAGAAUUCUUAAAAGUUUUUCACACAUCAAGAAUAUUCAAAGAACCCAUCGUUCACUUGAAAAAGUUUUUAUCGUUGAAUUUAUUUUUCUAUUUAAUCAUUUGUUUAAGUUUUUAUUCUAAUUUUUAUUUUGAUUUCUUUAUUUUAAGAAAUGUAUCUAACUUUUCUAUCAUUCAAGAAAUAUUUAGGAAUAUCUUUUCACCUAAAAUAUUUAAGAAAAUCAACAAUUCUUGAUUUAUUAAAAUUUCAUCAUUGGAUUUAUCUUAUUAUUUUUUUAUUUCUAGGAUUUAUUUUUGUUAUUUCUAAAAUUUUCUAAUUUUUAUUAUUAUUUCAAAGGAAAUAUCAAUAUUGUUAUUGAAAAUUUUAUCUAAAUUCUUCACAAUUUUAAAGAAUUUAAAUAGAAAUUUGUCAUUUAAAAAUUUCUAAAAAUUCAACUAUUAUUGAUUUAUAGAAUUUCAUCAGUCAGUAAUUUUCAUUUAUUCUUAAGAAUUACCUUUUUUUUUUUAUUGCUGUAAAUUAUUUUUAUAUUUGAAAUUUUCAUAUAAAAUUUUCACCUUUUUGGAAAUAUUUAGGAUAACACUUCUCAACUAGAAAUUUCUAAGAAAAUCACCAUUUGAAAUUUUAGAAUUUCAUUACUAGAUUUAUGAAAGAUUUUAAUUCUAAAAUAUAUUCUAUUAUUUCCAAAAAUUUCUCAAUUUAGUUAUUCCUUUCUCAUUAUUGCUUGAAAAUAAAUAUUAAUAUUGAUAUUGCUAUCGAAAUUUUUUACUUAAAAAUUUCACCAUUUUGGAAAAUUUAAGGAAAAACAUUUCACUUAGAAAUUUCUAAAAAACAACCAUUCUUGAUAUUUAGACUUUCAACAUUGAAAUAUUUUCACUACAAAAAAUCUGACAUAUAGUGAUGCUAAAAAAAGCAUUAAUAAACCUCAAAAUCCAUCAGUGUAGCACCAUAAUCCUUAUAUCGAUGGUCAAAAUGUGUAUUCUGAUAAAUUUUUAACCGUCAGUAUAUCCUUGUCGGUAUAGACUUAUACUGACGAUUUUUAAGGGGUCAAAAUAACUCACAGAGAUAUGAAUACGAUUAUCGUUAGUAAAUAAAUAUAUAUUGGUAUAGUAUUAGUUGUGUGUACCAUCGUUAUACUUUUUACUAAUGGUUAAUACCUGUCAGUAUAAACUUAUAUGUUUUAAUUUUUCUUAUCUAUACUGACAGUUAAUACCUGCCAGUAUAAACUUGUAAUUCUUUUUACCUAUAUUGAUGCUUAAAGCCCGUCAGUAUAGAUUUGUAUGUUUUAAUUUUCUCACUUAUAUUGAUUGCUAGCGCCCGUUAGUACAGAUUUAUAUGUUUUAAUUUUUCUUACCUAUACUGAUGGUUAAUACUCGUUAGUAUAGACUUGUAAUUUUUUUUACCAAUACCGACGCUUAGCAUCCAUCGGUAUAGACUUAUAUUUUUUUAAUUUUCUUACCUAUAUCGANNNNNNNNNNNNNNNNNNNNNNNNNNNNNNNNNNNNNNNNNNNNNNNNNNNNNNNNNNNNNNNNNNNNNNNNNNNNNNNNNNNNNNNNNNNNNNNNNNNNNNNNNNNNNNNNNNNNNNNNNNNNNNNNNNNNNNNNNNNNNNNNNNNNNNNNNNNNNNNNNNNNNNNNNNNNNNNNNNNNNNNNNNNNNNNNNNNNNNNNNNNNNNNNNNNNNNNNNNNNNNNNNNNNNNNNNNNNNNNNNNNNNNNNNNNNNNNNNNNNNNNNNNNNNNNNNNNNNNNNNNNNNNNNNNNNNNNNNNNNNNNNNNNNNNNNNNNNNNNNNNNNNNNNNNNNNNNNNNNNNNNNNNNNNNNNNNNNNNNNNNNNNNNNNNNNNNNNNNNNNNNNNNNNNNNNNNNNNNNNNNNNNNNNNNNNNNNNNNNNNNNNNNNNNNNNNNNNNNNNNNNNNNNNNNNNNNNNNNNNNNNNNNNNNNNNNNNNNNNNNNNNNNNNNNNNNNNNNNNNNNNNNNNNNNNNNNNNNNNNNNNNNNNNNNNNNNNNNNNNNNNNNNNNNNNNNNNNNNNNNNNNNNNNNNNNNNNNNNNNNNNNNNNNNNNNNNNNNNNNNNNNNNNNNNNNNNNNNNNNNNNNNNNNNNNNNNNNNNNNNNNNNNNNNNNNNNNNNNNNNNNNNNNNNNNNNNNNNNNNNNNNNNNNNNNNNNNNNNNNNNNNNNNNNNNNNNNNNNNNNNNNNNNNNNNNNNNNNNNNNNNNNNNNNNNNNNNNNNNNNNNNNNNNNNNNNNNNNNNNNNNNNNNNNNNNNNNNNNNNNNNNNNNNNNNNNNNNNNNNNNNNNNNNNNNNNNNNNNNNNNNNNNNNNNNNNNNNNNNNNNNNNNNNNNNNNNNNNNNNNNNNNNNNNNNNNNNNNNNNNNNNNNNNNNNNNNNNNNNNNNNNNNNNNNNNNNNNNNNNNNNNNNNNNNNNNNNNNNNNNNNNNNNNNNNNNNNNNNNNNNNNNNNNNNNNNNNNNNNNUUGAAAAGAAGAGGUUCGAAACAGAGGUGGAAGAAGAAUAUGAGAGAAUAAAAAAAAAUGAUUUGGGUUUUAACGAAAAAUUGAGAAAAUAGGAAGUUGAGAAAAUGGAACAUGAUUUGAGGGUUUGCAUUGAGGUCUUUGAGGAAUUCUCUGCAGGGGUUUUAGGGUUUAAAACUCAAUUUUCAUCAUGCAGAACUGCAGAUUCAAUUCCAAAUACAUUCUCGACCAAGUACGACGACGUUUAGAGCAGAUAGCCAUAUAAGCAGCGAUGCCGUUUCUGGAACAACAAACUUCUUAAGGGUGGACUUUUUAUUUAUUGGUCUAUUUUAUGUUUUUAUUUUCUUAUAGAUGAUGCAAUUUAUGAUAAUUUGUAUUUCUUUCCAUUUUAAUCCUUAUAAUUUACCGCUAAAAUUGGUAUAUGAAAUUUAUAAAUUAUUUAGAUUUUAACCAUUGUUAACAUUAAUAAACUAUAAAUAAAAAACAUGAGCAUACAAAGAUAAAUUCAAGAUUUUUUUCCCCAUAGGCCCAAACUUACUGUAUAGUAUUUUUCCUUAAAAUUUUAUAUAUGGUAAUGCCAAUAUUGCUUCGUUUAUAAAAUUGCAGCAAAAAUAAUAUGUUGAGUUAAAUCAAAAUAAUGUUCUAUUAAAGCCUUUUCUUUUCUAACUUUAUGAUUAGUUCAAAUGAAUACUGAAAUUAAAAAUAUAAUAUUAUAUCUAUACAUCAUAUGAUUGUAAAAUUAAAAAAAUACUAGGAUACUUUGUUUUAGAUUGGAUAUCCAACAAAAGGUAAUUAAUCUGGAUCUUAUUUGUUUAAUCAUGUUAAUUAGAUAUGAUAAAUCCAUAAAGCUUGCGUUCUAACGAGAAAAACUGAAGUACUAGAGAAGGCAACAAAUAUAUCCAGAAAAUAUACUCUUCUAGAAAUUACACAGCCAUUCUCAUGUUUUGAGGCGCCUGGUUGGUAUAGCCAGUAGAUGCUCGGCCCUAGGACAUACUAGACCUAAAUCCUCAGCCAUGUCCAAGUCCGUAGCCAACAUAUCAUCCGGGAGUUCCCAAUCAUAGCAAUGCACCAAUUGUGCCACCACAAGCCGAACAGUAAACCCAGUUGCAUUCCAGGGCAGCCUCUGCGCCCAGAACCAAAUGGGAUUAGCUGGAAGUUGGGUCCACGAAGAUCAAUGCCGCUUCCAACAAAUCUCUCUGGAUAAAACUUCUCUGCAUCAGUCCAAACCUUUUGGUCCCGACCUAUAGCCCCUGCGUUUAUGAAGAUCGUGAAUUAUUGGGUAUCGGAUAGCCAAUCACUUUGCAGUCUUCCAUACAUAAAUGCGGGAGCAGCAAUGGUACCACUGGGUGAAACCUAAAGCUUUCUUUCACAACCAUGUCUGAGUACAUCAAUUUCUCCAAGUCUGACUCUUCGACCAUCCUCUCCAUGCCUACCACAUUUUCCAGUUCUUUUUGGACUUCCUUUGUCACCCGUAGAUGUCUAAUGAGUUCGGACAGUGUCCACUCAAUUGCAGCAGCUGAAGUAUCCAUUGAAGCUACAAGCAUGUCCUGCAGGAAUUGUCAUAAACAUUUUUUAGACCAAAAUUCACAAUGGAGUGAAUGGACAAGUAAGUGAGCACAAAAGAAGACUACCGAUAUUAUUGCUUUCAUAUUAUCCCGCUCCACAUGGUACUCAUCAGUUUCUUCUGAUCCAAUGAAUCCUAGCAUGACAUCAAUGAAGUCCACGAUUCUGUUUUCACCUUUGGAUUGAACAAGCUCACCAAUUAUCUUCUCAAAGAAGUCGUCAAAAACCUUGGCAAUAGUUUUCAGAUGCUUUGUUAGACCCUCAAGAUCAAGUCCUUUAAUUUGAGGAAUGUAAUCAGCUAAAUUAAAAGCAGCAAUUGUUUGCAUGCCCUCUCGAAUUAUAGCUUCGAAGCCUUUUUUUUGAAAUCAUCAUUAUUAUAUUUCUUUCCAAGCACCAUUCUACUAGAAAUAUCAGUACUAAGAGAUGAGAACUUAGCGCUAAGAUCAACAGCAACUCGAGCAGAAGCAGCCCCUUGAAUAUACUGAAUUAAAAGAAGAAGCUCUUCCUUUCUCAUGGAACUAAAAGAAUCGAUUUUGAGGCUCCUAAGCAACUCUAGAGUGCACAGCUUAUGCAUGUUGCGCCAAUAGGACCCGUAUGGGGAGGAGGACAAAUUCUGCUGAUUGUAACCAACAUGCUUAGCACCUUCAUGAGGUGGCCUGCUAGCAAAACAAGGUCAUACGUCUUGAGGAAUAGCUCGGGAGCUUCAGGGGAUGAGACAACAAUUACAGGCAUCAGGCCAAAGCGUAAGGGAAUUAUGGGGCCAUACUUGUGGGCUAACUGUUGAUGAUGUUCCCCAUCAUGGAAAGGUUUCCAAUAGGAAGCCCUCUCGGACCAGGAGGUAAUCCCUUAUUCUUCUAAUUCUCCCUUAAUUUCCCCUUUUCUUUCUAAUUUCUUCUAUCUAUAUCUGAUUUUACUUCUGACUUCUAUACUCUUAUCUGAUUAAACAUAACAUGUUCAUAAAAGUGUAUGAAGUUAUUUUUCUUCAUGUAUCUAAUUACAUAGGCAUUCUUUAAUGUGUUUUUAAAGCAAUAGAGUAUCACAUGACAGCAUUAGAUCAUUAACUUUUUAGGCAUAGCUAGACUUGAACUAAUCUUGGAGAAUCUCCUAUUUCCAAGUUAUUUUUGUCAAACUAUUAACAAGUCCAAUAAAUUGGAAAGAGUUGGAAAAUUAUUUUUAAGGAAAUAAGUGAAUCGAAAGAAAACAGAAAAAAAAAAGAGGAAAAGAAUUUGUUAUGAACAAUUGAAUAUACCACUUAGCACCAGAUAGAACAAAACUCUGCAAAGCCUUCAAGCAAAAAUUGGAAAUAUAUGCACCCGUGUUGUGUGUGUGUGUGUGUGUGUGUGUGUAUACAAUUUUGUGAUUUGACAAUGCCACACUAACCACAUCAUAAUCCACCUUUUAUCACUUUACCUUAAUGCAAUGGCAAAAAACUUUCCACAUCAAAGAAUCAUAGAGAACAUUAAGAUACCAAGACUCGCAGCAGCAAUAGGUUCAAAGUCAAACAUGUCAAAGAUAUCAUCUACAGGGCCUCCAAGCUCUUCUUCAACAAUAGAUAUUGCAGUCUCUGACGGAAAAGGUGGAACUUGAUCCUGCACAUGAAUAGCAAUUAAAUUCUUACCUAUAGAAUUUUAAAUUUAGAAAACCAUCUGGCCGGCAAAAACUCUUUCUCUUUUUGGGGAGGAAGUGGGGCCUAUAAGUAAUAAAAAAUUAUGAAAUGAUUUUGAACAGAACUUCUCUGUUUUGGAUUUCUUUUAAUGCCCUUCAUCUGACCUAUCUUGAAUAAAUUCUUCUCCAAGUAGAAGCUAACAUCCACAAUAAAAGAAUUUCACCCGAAAGUAUAAAUUUUAAAGUAAAGGAACUUCAACCUGUAGCUCUGACAACUGAUCAACAUAUUCUUGAGCAAAAAUGUCAACCAUCGCGGAGAACUGUUGGCCAACUUUGAUGAAAAUAGGGACCCAAUCUCAAGGUACUUUCCUUUCACCACUUUGUCAAGGUCUUCCACCUUAGAACUUGCUUUUCCUCAGUCAUUCCUCCUGCUUGUAUGCAACCUUAAAACUGGAUAUAUAACACCAAACAACUAGAAACCAUAAC
This 28391-nucleotide long non-coding RNA is filed under the name Durio zibethinus. RNAcentral describes it as "long non-coding RNA (DZIB_LNC001128)". The record is from RNAcentral. Lineage: Eukaryota; Viridiplantae; Streptophyta; Magnoliopsida; Malvales; Malvaceae.